CCAAAAAUAACCUGAAAUAAACUUCAAAAUUACCCCAAGAACGACUUCUAAUUAACCAGUGAAGCUUAAUUAAUGCAUGCUAAUAAGCUAUUCCUGUGAAUCCUGAAAAUAUGCUAGUACUUACUCCAAUAAUAUAUAUUCAACGAAAAAGAGUAUUAAUUUUACUGCACAAAGCUAGCAUGCAUUACAAAGUUUAUCGGCUACAAGCUAGCCUCUCGUACGGACAAAAUACUUGAGUUCUCCCAAUAACGUACUAAUUAAAAAGUGUAGCAUGCCUGAGUUUAAUAAAAUAAUUAAGCCAUACUAAAUGGUUUUUCCAAAGGAUAAUCAUUAGUUAGUGCGCCGCCACCACCACCAUAGAAUUUGGCAGCCUGGUAGGAGUUGACAACCACCGGAGGCACCUGAAAAACGUGGGAGCAUUGUGGUUGAUAUGGGUACUUACAUAAUAUUUGCUGUUGUGGAGGAGGCGAAGCACAAUUACAAUUAGUACUAUUCCUUAAUCCCUUUCUUCCAUAACUUUCUUCCACCAUAUAACCAAAACUUUCUGAUCCAAUCUUGUGUGCCAUAUAUAUUUAUAGAGGAGUACUUGUUCUAUAUAUUUGGAACUCUUGUUGAAACUAUGUAAUUUACACCUACUUACAAAGCUAAGUGAGUAGUAUCUU
RNAcentral lists this long non-coding RNA (662 nucleotides) under Panax ginseng (ginseng). Its description in RNAcentral is "long non-coding RNA (PGIN_LNC014179)". Lineage: Eukaryota; Viridiplantae; Streptophyta; Magnoliopsida; Apiales; Araliaceae. The record is from RNAcentral.